UACGGAGGGGACUAGCGUUGUUCGGAAUUACUGGGCGUAAAGAGUACGUAGGCUGUUUUGCAAGUUGGGUGUGAAAGCCCGGGGCUCAACCCCGGAACUGCAUUCAAAACUGUGAGGCUAGAGAUCGGAAGAGGUAAGUGGAAUUCCCAGUGUAGAGGUGAAAUUCGUAGAUAUUGGGAAGAACACCAGUGGCGAAGGCGGCCACCUGGCCCAUAACUGACGCUGAGGCGCGAAAGCGUGGGGAGCAAACAGG
Molecule: ribosomal RNA, 253 nt
Filed under: uncultured bacterium
Lineage: Bacteria
Description: partial 16S ribosomal RNA
Rfam family: Bacterial small subunit ribosomal RNA
Source: RNAcentral